UUGAACGAGACGGUUCACUACUUGUCGGCAGCAACGAGCAAUAUGGAGAAUAAUGUGUUAGAAAACUGAUGCAGAAGCCAAGCUUUAAUUGAAAGUUAAAAAAAGAAUUAACAAAUAAAUAAAUUUGUAGUGAAACAGUAAAAACUGAAGUAAAAUGCACUUCACCAGAAUAAUAAACGCUUGGGAGCAGGGAGUUGGCCGCUUGUAUGCAAAUACUCGUAUAGACGACGGCUACAAAUGUCAGACGCUCAUCAGAAAUGCGGUAAAAAGAAGUGAAGCAACGAAAGUGGUGGAGAGUGGUUAAGGAUAAAAAUCGAGCAAAAAUAGCGCCAGUAUAACUCUGAGUGAGAAUUGUCAUACCAAUCUGUGUUCAAUGUGUACGACGUGCUUGAGUGUUCGAAGUUAUUAGACCGUAGCAGAAAUUCAAACCGCGGGGAAGCAUAAAUUUUAAUUAAAUGCCUAGAUGCGUCCCCUGACAGUCGUUUGCGCCUGGGCUCACGGUUUUCGUCACCCAAACUGCGUCGUCGUCAGCAAUAUCCGUUGUGAAACUGCGGAUUGUGCCUCUGGUGGAACAGCGAAAGCAGCGUCAUCAUGAAUUUUAAAAUUUUGCACAGCUGGCCCGAAUGAAAAACACCUACGUCAUACCCUGCUAGACAACUACAAUAGUCUGGAACGACCCGUCGUAAGAGAAUCCGAUCCACUGCAGAUGAACUUUGGGCUGGCGCUAAUGAAAAUCAUCGAUGUGAACGAGAAGAAGAAAUCGUCUGCCCAGUGAAUAAUGUCAAAGCUAUUGUGGGAAAACAUGCGAACAGACAGCAAAUAUCCGUAAACACAAAUUGAACAUGAACGGCAGACGAACAAGCUGUUCGCUUGGACACCAGCUCUCUUUAAUUUAGCAAUGCGCCUUCAUCACUUCUUGAAGAAAGCCAUGAGACCUCAAAACCUCAAACUAAAAUGCUCACGUGUCACUUGAUAAAGAAGGCAGCAUUGCUGUUAUGACAGCAAGUUGGUUGAGAUCUUCGAACGAAAUAGCAUCGGCCGUAAUUUGGGUUAAGUCAUCUGGCUACUGAAAGGUUGAGGCGAGUAAAUAUAUGAGUUGUGUUCCUGUGGGGAUGACAAUUACAUUGCUUCCGAGGCCUUUUCAUAUUUUAUUGCUGGCGAAAAAUAUUUACAUAGCAUAUUCCUUCGGUUUUCCAGCACCAGCAUAUGAGGAAGAAAAGCAGACACAAUUGCAAAGAAAUGAAAUUUAUUGUAUUAUUAUACUUUAAAUUGACAUGUAAUUCAAAUCUUAAUAUUGAU
Molecule: long non-coding RNA, 1299 nt
Organism: Bactrocera tryoni
Lineage: Eukaryota; Metazoa; Arthropoda; Insecta; Diptera; Tephritidae
Exons: 5
Source: RefSeq, a predicted model, not a curated record